Arabidopsis thaliana (thale cress) is the source of this 205-nucleotide long non-coding RNA. RefSeq annotates it as other RNA. Lineage: Eukaryota; Viridiplantae; Streptophyta; Magnoliopsida; Brassicales; Brassicaceae. The transcript has a single exon. The record is from RefSeq.
UGACGGCAGUUUCAAAUACUAAAUAUUUCCAUACAAUUUUGGUUCAUCUAAAACAACUGGGUCUUGGGCUGUUUGUGGUAUAUCUCUCCUUAUAUAGGCUCUUUUGUGUGCGUGACUGUGUGCUAUUUCAUAUUACUAACUUGAAAUCAUAUUACAACCCAAUCAGGGAGGCCCUGAUUGAAUAUGGCCCGGCACUGACCCAUUG